UACGAAGGGGGCUAGCGUUGCUCGGAAUUACUGGGCGUAAAGCGCACGUAGGCGGAUUGUUAAGUCGGGGGUGAAAUCCUGGAGCUCAACUCCAGAACUGCCUUCGAUACUGGCGAUCUCGAGUUCGGGAGAGGUGAGUGGAACUGCGAGUGUAGAGGUGAAAUUCGUAGAUAUCCGCAAGAACACCAGUGGCGAAGGCGGCUCACUGGCCCGAUACUGACGCUGAGGUGCGAAAGCGUGGGGAGCAAACAGG
This 253-nucleotide ribosomal RNA is filed under the name uncultured bacterium. RNAcentral's name for it is "partial 16S ribosomal RNA". It matches the Rfam family "Bacterial small subunit ribosomal RNA", at positions 524 to 776 of the family's 1533-position model. The record is from RNAcentral.